RNAcentral lists this ribosomal RNA (1777 nucleotides) under Staphylococcus aureus. Its description in RNAcentral is "partial 23S ribosomal RNA". It matches the Rfam family "Bacterial large subunit ribosomal RNA", at positions 325 to 2106 of the family's 2925-position model. Lineage: Bacteria; Bacillati; Bacillota; Bacilli; Caryophanales; Staphylococcaceae. The record is from RNAcentral.
GACAUUAGACGAAUCAUCUGGAAAGAUGAAUCAAAGAAGGUAAUAAUCCUGUAGUCGAAAAUGUUGUCUCUCUUGAGUGGAUCCUGAGUACGACGGAGCACGUGAAAUUCCGUCGGAAUCUGGGAGGACCAUCUCCUAAGGCUAAAUACUCUCUAGUGACCGAUAGUGAACCAGUACCGUGAGGGAAAGGUGAAAAGCACCCCGGAAGGGGAGUGAAAUAGAACCUGAAACCGUGUGCUUACAAGUAGUCAGAGCCCGUUAAUGGGUGAUGGCGUGCCUUUUGUAGAAUGAACCGGCGAGUUACGAUUUGAUGCAAGGUUAAGCAGUAAAUGUGGAGCCGUAGCGAAAGCGAGUCUGAAUAGGGCGUUUAGUAUUUGGUCGUAGACCCGAAACCAGGUGAUCUACCCUUGGUCAGGUUGAAGUUCAGGUAACACUGAAUGGAGGACCGAACCGACUUACGUUGAAAAGUGAGCGGAUGAACUGAGGGUAGCGGAGAAAUUCCAAUCGAACCUGGAGAUAGCUGGUUCUCUCCGAAAUAGCUUUAGGGCUAGCCUCAAGUGAUGAUUAUUGGAGGUAGAGCACUGUUUGGACGAGGGGCCCCUCUCGGGUUACCGAAUUCAGACAAACUCCGAAUGCCAAUUAAUUUAACUUGGGAGUCAGAACAUGGGUGAUAAGGUCCGUGUUCGAAAGGGAAACAGCCCAGACCACCAGCUAAGGUCCCAAAAUAUAUGUUAAGUGGAAAAGGAUGUGGCGUUGCCCAGACAACUAGGAUGUUGGCUUAGAAGCAGCCAUCAUUUAAAGAGUGCGUAAUAGCUCACUAGUCGAGUGACACUGCGCCGAAAAUGUACCGGGGCUAAACAUAUUACCGAAGCUGUGGAUUGUCCUUUGGACAAUGGUAGGAGAGCGUUCUAAGGGCGUUGAAGCAUGAUCGUAAGGACAUGUGGAGCGCUUAGAAGUGAGAAUGCCGGUGUGAGUAGCGAAAGACGGGUGAGAAUCCCGUCCACCGAUUGACUAAGGUUUCCAGAGGAAGGCUCGUCCGCUCUGGGUUAGUCGGGUCCUAAGCUGAGGCCGACAGGCGUAGGCGAUGGAUAACAGGUUGAUAUUCCUGUACCACCUAUAAUCGUUUUAAUCGAUGGGGGGACGCAGUAGGAUAGGCGAAGCGUGCGAUUGGAUUGCACGUCUAAGCAGUAAGGCUGAGUAUUAGGCAAAUCCGGUACUCGUUAAGGCUGAGCUGUGAUGGGGAGAAGACAUUGUGUCUUCGAGUCGUUGAUUUCACACUGCCGAGAAAAGCCUCUAGAUAGAAAAUAGGUGCCCGUACCGCAAACCGACACAGGUAGUCAAGAUGAGAAUUCUAAGGUGAGCGAGCGAACUCUCGUUAAGGAACUCGGCAAAAUGACCCCGUAACUUCGGGAGAAGGGGUGCUCUUUAGGGUUAACGCCCAGAAGAGCCGCAGUGAAUAGGCCCAAGCGACUGUUUAUCAAAAACACAGGUCUCUGCUAAACCGUAAGGUGAUGUAUAGGGGCUGACGCCUGCCCGGUGCUGGAAGGUUAAGAGGAGUGGUUAGCUUCUGCGAAGCUACGAAUCGAAGCCCCAGUAAACGGCGGCCGUAACUAUAACGGUCCUAAGGUAGCGAAAUUCCUUGUCGGGUAAGUUCCGACCCGCACGAAAGGCGUAACGAUUUGGGCACUGUCUCAACGAGAGACUCGGUGAAAUCAUAGUACCUGUGAAGAUGCAGGUUACCCGCGACAGGACGGAAAGACCCCGUGGAGCUUUACUG